This is a long non-coding RNA of Nematostella vectensis (starlet sea anemone), 442 nucleotides long. RefSeq lists it as uncharacterized. The record is from RefSeq and is a predicted model, not a curated record. NCBI's taxonomy places the organism in Eukaryota, Metazoa, Cnidaria, Anthozoa, Actiniaria, Edwardsiidae. The transcript has 2 exons.
GCAAGUGGGACACAGAUGGUAGAGGUAAGUCACCCUGGACAUAGGGGAAUCGGCAAGUGGGGACACAGAUAGUAGAGGUAAGUCACCCUAGACAUAGGGGAAUCGGCAAGUGGGGACACAGAUAGUAGAGGUAAUCAGCAAGUGUGGACACAGAUAUAGUCGAGGUUAAGUUAACAGAUAAAUGGUUUUUGAUGUUUCAAGUACAGAAAUUAGCAGUAUGAUUAAAAAGUAAUAAAGUGUGAGUAUUUGUUGAAGGAGAGAAGUGCCCAUUCAUAUACUGUAUCAUAUUGAAAGAGAUACAAUUUUAGGAUCCUGCAAUAAGAAAUGCCCCAUCCCAAGGGGGAUGUGCGCAUGCCCUUCCAGGGCCUACUGGGUACAUUUCUAUUCAAUUGAGUGCUUAUACGUUAUGUAUUUAUAAGCUGAUUUCAAACACAUUUUUCAG